AUGAAAAAGCACAAAUUCUUACCACAUUCCUCUGGCUCAGGCUGUACUGGUUCCAUGAGUUCCUCAUCUGGGAUCCAGAAGCCUGUGACGGCAUUACGAAGAUCUCACUUCCUGUCAAAGAUCUCUGGACUCCUGACAUUAUCGUUUAUGAGUUUAAAGGACGUCCGUGUCAGUCCUGCCCUGUCCUUUAAGGAGAUGACGGGAAACUCGAAGCGUUACCUGCAGGCCAGUGGCGAGUGGGAGCUGGUGGUUAUCUUGGGCGAUGCUGACAUUUUGAAUUUCGGAAUAGAGGAAUGGGACAUCAUCACUUUCUGGGUAAGAAAGAGACAAAAGUAGGGCAUAUAAUAGGCUAUGUUUAGAAUAGCAUACUACUCUGUU
This 378-nucleotide long non-coding RNA is filed under the name Sinocyclocheilus grahami. RNAcentral's name for it is "lncRNA (ENSSGRG00000039599.1)". Lineage: Eukaryota; Metazoa; Chordata; Actinopteri; Cypriniformes; Cyprinidae. The record is from RNAcentral.